This 484-nucleotide ribosomal RNA is filed under the name uncultured bacterium. RNAcentral describes it as "partial 16S ribosomal RNA". It matches the Rfam family "Bacterial small subunit ribosomal RNA", at positions 30 to 507 of the family's 1533-position model. The record is from RNAcentral.
AUUGAACGCUGGCGGCAGGCCUAACACAUGCAAGUCGAGCGGAUGAAGGGAGCUUGCUCCUGGAUUCAGCGGCGGACGGGUGAGUAAUGCCUAGGAAUCUGCCUGGAAGUGGGGGAUAACGUCCGGAAACGGGCGCUAAUACCGCAUACGUCCUGAGGGAGAAAGCGGGGGAUCUUCGGACCUCACGCUAUCAGAUGAGCCUAGGUCGGAUUAGCUAGUUGGUGGGGUAAAGGCCUACCAAGGCGACGAUCCGUAACUGGUCUGAGAGGAUGAUCAGUCACACUGGAACUGAGACACGGUCCAGACUCCUACGGGAGGCAGCAGUGGGGAAUAUUGGACAAUGGGCGAAAGCCUGAUCCAGCCAUGCCGCGUGUGUGAAGAAGGUCUUCGGAUUGUAAAGCACUUUAAGUUGGGAGGAAGGGCAGUAAGUUAAUACCUUGCUGUUUUGACGUUACCAACAGAAUAAGCACCGGCUAACUUCGUG